CCUACGGGCGGCAGCAGUGAGGAAUAUUGGUCAAUGGUCGAGAGCCUGAACCAGCCAAGCCGCGUGAGGGAAGACGGCACUAUGGGUUGUAAACCUCUUUUGUCGGAGAACAAAACCUGGGACGCGUCCCGGGCUGCGUGUAUCCGAAGAAAAAGCAUCGGCUAACUCCGUGCCAGCAGCCGCGGUAAUACGGAGGAUGCGAGCGUUAUCCGGAUUUAUUGGGUUUAAAGGGUGCGUAGGCGGUCUGUUAAGUCAGCGGUAAAAUUGCGGGGCUCAACCCCGGCGCGCCGUUGAAACUGGCAGACUUGAGUUGGCGAGAAGUACGCGGAAUGCGCGGUGUAGCGGUGAAAUGCAUAGAUAUCGCGCAGAACUCCGAUUGCGAAGGCAGCAUGCCGGCGCCAGACUGACGCUGAGGCACGAAAGCGUGGGGAUCGAACAGGAUUAGAUACCCGGGUAGUC
This 459-nucleotide ribosomal RNA is filed under the name uncultured bacterium. RNAcentral describes it as "partial 16S ribosomal RNA". It matches the Rfam family "Bacterial small subunit ribosomal RNA", at positions 338 to 795 of the family's 1533-position model. The record is from RNAcentral.